UGGUGACAAUAGCAAAGAGGUCACACCUGUUCCCAUGCCGAACACAGAAGUUAAGCUCUUUAGCGCCGAUGGUAGUCGGACUAACGUUCCGCUAGAGUAGGACGUUACCAGGCA
This 114-nucleotide ribosomal RNA is filed under the name Staphylococcus sp. 8AQ. The record is from RNAcentral. Lineage: Bacteria; Bacillati; Bacillota; Bacilli; Caryophanales; Staphylococcaceae.